Molecule: ribosomal RNA, 350 nt
Filed under: Oxyrrhis marina
Lineage: Eukaryota; Dinophyceae; Oxyrrhinales; Oxyrrhinaceae
Description: partial Bacterial large subunit ribosomal RNA
Rfam family: Bacterial large subunit ribosomal RNA
Source: RNAcentral
AGUUCCGACCUGCACGAAUGGCGUAACGAUGGCCAUACUGUCUCCAACCGAGACUCAGUGAAAUUGAAAUUGCAGUGAAGAUGCUGUGUACCCGCACCUAGACGGAAAGACCCCGUGAACCUUUACUACAGCUUGGCACUGAACAUUGAACCUACAUGUGUAGGAUAGGUGGGAGACUUUGAAGCAGCGACGCUAGUUGUUGUGGAGUCGUCCUUGAAAUACCACCCUUGUAGUUUUGAUGUUCUAACGUUGGCCCCUGAAUCGGGGUUACGGACAGUGCCUGGUGGGUAGUUUGACUGGGGCGGUCUCCUCCCAAAGAGUAACGGAGGAGCACGAAGGUUGGCUAAGUA